UAGUGGCGGACGGGUGAGUAACGCGUGGGAAUCUGCCCUCAGGAGGGGGAUAACGGUUGGAAACGACCGCUAAUACCCCAUAUGCCGAGAGGUGAAACGAAAUUCGCCUGAGGAUGAGCCCGCGUCUGAUUAGCUAGUUGGUGGGGUAAAGGCCUACCAAGGCAUCGAUCAGUAGCUGGUCUGAGAGGAUGAUCAGCCACACUGGGACUGAGACACGGCCCAGACUCCUACGGGAGGCAGCAGUGGGGAAUUUUCCGCAAUGGGCGUAAGCCUGACGGAGCAACGCCGCGUGAGGGAUGAAGGCCUCUGGGCUGUAAACCUCUUUUCUCAAGGAAGAAGAACUGACGGUACUUGAGGAAUAAGCCACGGCUAA
This 373-nucleotide ribosomal RNA is filed under the name uncultured bacterium. RNAcentral describes it as "bacterial SSU rRNA". It matches the Rfam family "Bacterial small subunit ribosomal RNA", at positions 93 to 500 of the family's 1533-position model. The record is from RNAcentral.